GACGAACGCUGGCGGCGUGCUUAACACAUGCCAGUCGAACGGAAAGGCCCUGCUUUUGUGGGGUGCUCGAGUGGCGAACGGGUGAGUAACACGUGAGUAACCUGCCCUUGACUUUGGGAUAACUUCAGGAAACUGGGGCUAAUACCGGAUAGGAGCUCCUGCUGCAUGGUGGGGGUUGGAAAGUUUCGGCGGUUGGGGAUGGACUCGCGGCUUAUCAGCUUGUUGGUGGGGUAGUGGCUUACCAAGGCUUUGACGGGUAGCCGGCCUGGGAGGGUGACCGGCCACAAUGGGACUGAGAUACGGCCCAGACGCCAACGGGAGGCAGCAGUGGGGAAUAUUGCACAAUGGGCGGAAGCCUGAUGCAGCAACGCCGCGUGCGGGAUGACGGCCUUCGGGUUGUAAACCGCUUUCGCCUGUGACGAAGCGUGAGUGACGGUAAUGGGUAAAGAAGCACCGGCUAACUACGUG
RNAcentral lists this ribosomal RNA (468 nucleotides) under uncultured bacterium. RNAcentral describes it as "partial 16S ribosomal RNA". It matches the Rfam family "Bacterial small subunit ribosomal RNA", at positions 28 to 507 of the family's 1533-position model. The record is from RNAcentral.